AAAUCUGUUUUCUUUUUCUUCACUCUUCAAACGCGGAAACGGUUUUAACAAAAUGAUGGCAACUAAACGAUGGUUGUGGAUGUAGAAAUGACCAAAGAGCUUCGAAAAGAGGGAGAAGCAGAAGAAAUCGAUGAAUAAGCCCAAUUCGAUGACGACCACAGCAAAAGCAUGGUGACAGAGUAUCUUCACCGCACCAAGUGCUGCUUUCCCGAAUUUCACCAUUUCCAUCUUUGCUUUCUUCUCCUUCUUUCA
This is a long non-coding RNA of Arabidopsis thaliana (thale cress), 252 nucleotides long. RefSeq annotates it as other RNA. The transcript has a single exon. The record is from RefSeq. NCBI's taxonomy places the organism in Eukaryota, Viridiplantae, Streptophyta, Magnoliopsida, Brassicales, Brassicaceae.